RNAcentral lists this ribosomal RNA (19 nucleotides) under Caudanthera edulis. Its description in RNAcentral is "partial 26S ribosomal RNA". RNAcentral also lists the same sequence under 29 other names. Lineage: Eukaryota; Viridiplantae; Streptophyta; Magnoliopsida; Gentianales; Apocynaceae. The record is from RNAcentral.
CCGCGACCCCAGGUCAGGC